GGCCAGAGACAUACCAGAGUUUCAGGUUUUUUGAGAAAACUAAGCAUGCUUUCCGAGUCUAGUCAAUGGCAAAGCAAGCAGACCCAAGCCCCUGUAAGAAGGCAGAAAGGUAUAUGCAUAGUAUGUUGGAAAUGGAUGGGGUGUGUCAUCUGGUCCAACCUCCUCUCUGAAGUUAUGGAAAGAAUGAUUACUUCUUUCCUGAUGCAGAAAUUAGGACCUGACUCAAUGGGUAGAUUGGUGGGAGACAGGUAUUUCUAGAAGGCCUGGCCAUGUUUUUUUUUUCUAGGAAUGAGAAGGACUACAGAAUAUUAUUUCACCAUUGCUGGGACUGUGGUGAAGACACAACACUACGAAUGAUCAAACAAGAGGACUGUCGAAUUGUACCAUGAGAUCACAUCUGAGAUUAAGCCCCCCGGGUUUAAUCUAGACUAUAGAAGACCAAGAUAAUAUGCAACUAAGUGAGGCAAUAAGGUCAACUUCCCUUCAAGAAAUGGAUUUCCUAAGCCUUCAACAUGAACUUCAUUCAGAAGCAAUAAAGACCCAAGUAGACUUGCCACCGUGUAGCCACUGGCUGGGCCUUGCAAGUCAUCUCAACAGGGGAGAAUUUUUAUCUUCUUUAUCGUUUCCACCUUUGAUGCUCAAAGUUGAACAAUUUGGACUCUCCUUACUUCCCUGCAAAAGGAGUUUGGGAGCUGAACAUACUGGCUUACCAUGAAGGAAGAAAUAUUGUGUGGCUUACUGACCUCCAAAGUGUGCUGCAGACUCUGGAACCCACCAAACCUGAGAUGAAAGGGAACAAAACAGGCUCAUGGUGAGUAUCCCCUGCCUUGCUGUGUCCAGCUUCAACCGUUGAGUCUUCCACAGUCAACAAGGUGAGGGUAAUCCUUUCUAGUGGUACCAGACUUCUGCAUCUCCUUUCCAUAGUCACAUCUUCUGGAUCUACUUUCAAGAACUCUUUCAAUGUCAUUGGACUCAUGCAAACCCCCCUUGGAUAGCUGUCUUAUUCUGAAACUAUCUAAGUAACACACUGCAUUCAUCCAUAACUUAAGUUCCAAGUCUUCAUCUGAGAUGGCUAAUCUUUGGUGUCUACUUGAUUUGGACACACCUAGAAAACAUACCUCUGGGCACCUAUGCAAGAGCAUUUUCAGAUUUAACUCCAGACAAUAACAACUCCAAAUGUUGGCAGCACCAUCCCGUGGGCAAUGGCCCUGGACUGAAUAAAAAGGAGAAAGUAAGCUGAACACUAGCAUUCAUCCAUCUUGCUGAUUCUUGACCCAAUGUGACUAGCUGCCUCGUAUCUCUACCACAGCAUCUUCCCUUCCACAAUAGCCUGUCUCUCCUAAUGUGUGAGCCAAAGGAAACUCUUAAGAAUUUUUUGAAUCACAGCAAUGAGAAAAAUAACUGAUGUAGCAUCUAACAUAAUCAAGGUCAUAGGUUCUGGAGUUUAGCAUGUAGAUAUGUCCUAAAUCAUUAAGCCAGUAUUCUGUCUACCGCAACAGGCAACAUUCCACAUUUUUUUCCCGGUAAUAUGAGGUGUGUUCUACUCUUUGCUCCAAUACUGUAAGAAAUUCAAAUGCAGAAGAACACUCACUUGUACUAUGCAAAGCAAUAGGAGCCAUGGUUACUCUUUAUCAACUAUUGCUAUGACAGGGAAUGUAUUCAGAAUCAUUUGCUUUUUAAAGUCGUGCUUCUCAAGCUAGGCAGGGCAGAAGAUAUUAUUGUCUUCUACAAAUGGAAGAAGUUAGAGACUCAGAAGGCUCCACUUAGCUACUGAAUUCAGACUGGCUUCUCCUCAGUGCUUCUUACCUCUAAAGUUCAGCCAUGGUAACAAGCCUCCCAGAGUCUCCUUAUCUUCUCUUUUCUCAUCUAGUAAGCUCUUUAACUGGAAUCUGGAUUCAUAGCAAGCCUUUCUACUGAAGCACAUAUUUGAAUGUGGAAAGCAGAAGUGAAGAACAUUCUUGAUUAGCACUACCUAGAAUCCAACAGAUCAACAUUGGCAUCUUUCUCACAUUGACAGUCAUCUGCUCUCGGUGUACAUUGUUUUCAAAGAUGCUGUUCCUUUCUUUCUAGUGUAUCCCAUGCUCUUUUCCUGAGACUGCACUGUUCCUGAGUAGAAGUCACACUGCCCGACUUCCCCUACAGCUCCUUGCUCAAAACUAGAAAAAAAAAUUAAUAAGCAACAAAUGAAAUUAAUUAUUUUCUACCUGAGGUCUGCCAUAGUACAUCAGUUGGUUUGGUUCUUGGUUUUGGAGGUCUUUGCUGUUAAAUUGGGUAGUCCAGCUUUCUGCCACAAAGGAAAAGAAAUAUGCUUUGGGUUUCUUCCUAAUGAUCUCAAAUUGAACCCCACAAUAAUCCCCAACUGAACUACUAGUGAUGUGAACUUUUCCUGGGGACACAUACAAACAUCUUUGCACCCCAGCCAUGACAUAAAGAACCAAGGAACAAUUUCAGCCAAGGUUAACUUGGUGAACUGAUAUGCUUAGUAUGGGCACAGGUGAUAGAUUACAGGUUAUUUACAGGUAAAUGUGCGAUUUAGAAGUACUUGAAAAGCUAUACCAUUCAAGAAAAGGUCUUUUUCUCCAGGCGACUUUAACUUCCUAUAUAUCUUCAGGGAGUGUGGGGAGGACUUAGGAGUCUAAGACCUCAGUUAGCUUAGCUCCAGUAGAGGUGGAAUGCAGUAUAGUGAGUGCCUUGGACUGGUUCCUGAAAGCACAUUAAUGGGAAAAAUAAUGGUGAAAUUACAAUAAAUUCUAGAGCUCAGAAUACUGUAUUGAUGUUAGUUUUGAAAAGCACACGGUGGAGAUGUAAAGGCAGACCCUUGAUCAAAGCUUGGAGAGCUAAUGGGAAUUCAUCAUACUGUCCUGGCAACUUUUCUGCAGAGUAAAAAUGAUUUUUUUUCCCUCUGUCAUUCUCUGCUAUUCCUCCAUCUGGCCAUUAGCUCAUUCCAGAGAGCCACAGAUGAUCCCAGAAGGGUAUCCACUUGUAAUGCAUCUGGAAGCAUGGACUUUUGCAAGUGCCAAAGUUGGGGGCUUGGGAAAUGGCACAGAGUGGUGCUGAGCAAGCAUGAGGAUCUGAAUUUGAAUCUCUAGCACCUACUUUGAAAAAGCCAGGCUUAACCACCCAAUGGGGUAGAAUCCCAGCACAGUGGGAACAGGAGAAUGGGGCUUGAUGGUUGUCAUUCUGGCUCCAGGUUUGGUGAGGGGCCCUGUCUCAGAAGAUAAAACCUCCUUUGGCUUCCGAACAGGCACGCUUAGAUGUGCCCACAUACCACACAAAGUCACAUAAGCACAUACAAUGGGGAAAAAAAAAACACCCAAAAUGGCAAUUUAAAAUGCUUGGAUGUUUUAGCUACAUCUAAAGUAGCAAAGAAAGGGACCAUUGGAAUGAAAAAUAAUAAUAAUAAAAAAAAAAACCCUAUUUUUGUUUU
Molecule: long non-coding RNA, 3427 nt
Filed under: Mus pahari (shrew mouse)
Lineage: Eukaryota; Metazoa; Chordata; Mammalia; Rodentia; Muridae
Description: predicted gene 15228 (MGP_PahariEiJ_G0006521.1)
Source: RNAcentral